RNAcentral lists this ribosomal RNA (388 nucleotides) under uncultured prokaryote. Its description in RNAcentral is "bacterial SSU rRNA". It matches the Rfam family "Archaeal small subunit ribosomal RNA", at positions 339 to 727 of the family's 1478-position model. The record is from RNAcentral. RNAcentral also lists the same sequence under 1 other name.
GCGCGAAAACUUUACAAUGCGGGAAACCGCGAUAAGGGGACACCGAGUGCCAGCAUCCUAUGUUGGCUGUCCAUAUGUAUAAAUCACAUGUGUUAGCAAGGGCCGGGCAAGACCGGUGCCAGCCGCCGCGGUAACACCGGCGGCCCGAGUGGUGGCCACUAUUAUUGGGUCUAAAGGGUCCGUAGCCGGUUUGGUCAGUCUUCCGGGAAAUCUGACGGCUCAACCGUUAGGCUUUCGGGGGAUACUACCAGGCUUGGGACCGGGAGAGGUAAGAGGUACUACGGGGGUAGGAGUGAAAUCUUGUAAUCCCUGUGGGACCACCAGUGGCGAAGGCGUCUUACCAGAACGGGUCCGACGGUGAGGGACGAAAGCUGGGGGCACGAACCGG